Molecule: long non-coding RNA, 270 nt
Filed under: Homo sapiens (human)
Lineage: Eukaryota; Metazoa; Chordata; Mammalia; Primates; Hominidae
Description: HSALNT0108511
Source: RNAcentral
AGAAGGCUUCGCAGGGGAGUUGGGACUUCUUCAGCUUCAGUGUGAUACAGGCAAAUGGAAAGAUAGUUCAGGCCGUGGAAGCAGUGUCUAUGGUGCACUUGGUGACAAGGGAGAGACCAAACAGGAUCCAGGAGGGCUAGAGCGUCCAGAAGUAGAAAUACAGAACAAAACCAUGACCAAAGGGAUGAAAGACAAAUCACAAAAUGCUAGGCUGCAACCAAUCAAAAACAGAGAUUUGCGGAGAAGUGAACACUCCCAGGAGUUAACAAA